Molecule: transfer RNA, 70 nt
Filed under: Porichthys myriaster (specklefin midshipman)
Lineage: Eukaryota; Metazoa; Chordata; Actinopteri; Batrachoidiformes; Batrachoididae
Description: tRNA-Ser(UCN)
Rfam family: tRNA
About the family: Transfer RNA (tRNA) molecules are approximately 80 nucleotides in length.
Source: RNAcentral
GAGAAAAUGGCAGAAUGUUAUGCGGUUGGCUUGAAACCAACAGAUGGGGGCUCAUAGCCUUCUUUUCUUG